This 87-nucleotide transfer RNA is filed under the name Actinomycetes bacterium. RNAcentral describes it as "Actinobacteria bacterium tRNA-Leu". It matches the Rfam family "tRNA". Rfam says of the family: Transfer RNA (tRNA) molecules are approximately 80 nucleotides in length. Lineage: Bacteria; Bacillati; Actinomycetota; Actinomycetes. The record is from RNAcentral.
GCCCGGGUGGCGGAAUCGGCAUACGCAGCUCCCUUAAAAGGAGCCGCCGGCGACGGCUUGUGGGUUCGAGUCCCACCCCGGGCACCC